UACGAAGGGGGCUAGCGUUGUUCGGAAUUACUGGGCGUAAAGCGUAUGCAGGCGGACUUUUAAGUCAGGGGUGAAAUCCCGGGGCUCAACCCCGGAACUGCCUUUGAUACUGCUAGUCUCGAGUCCGGAAGAGGUGAGUGGAAUUCCGAGUGUAGAGGUGAAAUUCGUAGAUAUUCGGAGGAACACCAGUGGCGAAGGCGGCUCACUGGUCCGGUACUGACGCUGAGGUGCGAAAGCGUGGGGAGCAAACAGG
Molecule: ribosomal RNA, 253 nt
Filed under: uncultured bacterium
Lineage: Bacteria
Description: partial 16S ribosomal RNA
Rfam family: Bacterial small subunit ribosomal RNA
Source: RNAcentral